Molecule: ribosomal RNA, 497 nt
Filed under: uncultured bacterium
Lineage: Bacteria
Description: partial 16S ribosomal RNA
Rfam family: Bacterial small subunit ribosomal RNA
Source: RNAcentral
GAUGAACGCUGGCGGCGUGCCUAACACAUGCAAGUCGAGCGGACGGACGAGAAGCUUGCUUCGUUGUUGUUAGCGGCGGACGGGUGUGUAACGCGUGUAUAACCUACCUAUAAGUCGGGUAUAAUUUCGGGAAUCCGGAGCUAAUACCGGAUAAUAUUCUGAAGCGUGGGGUGCAAAAGUGAGAUUCGGUCUUGCUGGCUCUAAUAGCUGGAUCCCCGCUGCAUGAGCUAGUAGGUACGGUAACAGCUUACCAAGGCAACGAUGCAUGGCCGAACGGAGAGGCUGGUCGCCCACCCUAGAACGGGGCCGCCGUCCAGAGUCCUACGGGAGGCAGCAGUAUGGAAUCUUCCGCAAUGGGCGAGAGCCUGACACAGCGACCCCGCGUGUGUGGUGACGGCCUUCGGUUCGUAAAGCUCUGUUAUUAGGGGAAAACAGCUGUCUCAGUAACCGUGCCCAUCUUGACGGUACCUAGUCAAAAAGCCACGGCUAACUACGUG